Molecule: ribosomal RNA, 812 nt
Filed under: uncultured marine bacterium
Lineage: Bacteria
Description: bacterial SSU rRNA
Rfam family: Bacterial small subunit ribosomal RNA
Source: RNAcentral
AGUCGAGGGGUAACAGAGAGAAGCUUGCUUUUCUGCUGACGACCGGCGCACGGGUGCGUAACGCGUAUACAAUCUGCCUUAUACAGAGGGAUAGCCUUUAGAAAUGAAGAUUAAUACCUUAUAGUCUAUUUUUAUAGCAUUAUAUAAAUAGUAAAGCUUCGGUGGUAUAAGAUGAGUAUGCGUCCUAUUAGUUAGUUGGUAAGGUAACGGCUUACCAAGACAACGAUAGGUAGGGGCCCUGAGAGGGGGAUCCCCCACACUGGUACUGAGACACGGACCAGACUCCUACGGGAGGCAGCAGUGAGGAAUAUUGGACAAUGGAGGCAACUCUGAUCCAGCCAUGCCGCGUGCAGGAUGACGGCCCUAUGGGUUGUAAACUGCUUUUAUAUAGGAAGAAACCUUUUCACGUGUGAGAAGCUGACGGUACUAUAAGAAUAAGGACCGGCUAACUCCGUGCCAGCAGCCGCGGUAAUACGGAGGGUCCGAGCGUUAUCCGGAAUCAUUGGGUUUAAAGGGUCCGUAGGCGGGAAUCUAAGUCAGUGGUGAAAUCUUGCAGCUCAACUGUAAAAUUGCCAUUGAUACCUGGAUUUUCUUGAAUUAAGUGUGAAGUGGUUAGAAUGUGUAGUGUAGCGGUGAAAUGCAUAGAUAUUACACAGAAUACCAAUUGCGAAGGCAGAUCACUAACACCUAUAUUGACCGCUGAGGGACGAAAGCGUGGGGAGCGAACAGGAUUAGAUACCCUGGUAGUCCACGCCGUAAACGAUGGAUACUAGCUGUUCGAUCUUCGGAUUGAGUGGCUAAGCGAAAGUGAU